AUUGAACGCUGGCGGCAUGCCUUACACAUGCAAGUCGAACGGCAGCACGGGUGCUUGCACCUGGUGGCGAGUGGCGAACGGGUGAGUAAUACAUCGGAACAUGUCCUGUAGUGGGGGAUAGCCCGGCGAAAGCCGGAUUAAUACCGCAUACGAUCCACGGAUGAAAGCGGGGGACCUUCGGGCCUCGCGCUAUAGGGUUGGCCGAUGGCUGAUUAGCUAGUUGGUGGGGUAAAGGCCUACCAAGGCGACGAUCAGUAGCUGGUCUGAGAGGACGACCAGCCACACUGGGACUGAGACACGGCCCAGACUCCUACGGGAGGCAGCAGUGGGGAAUUUUGGACAAUGGGCGAAAGCCUGAUCCAGCAAUGCCGCGUGUGUGAAGAAGUCCUUCGGGUUGUAAAGCACUUUUGUCCGGAAAGAAAUCCUUGACUCUAAUACAGUCGGGGGAUGACGGUACCGGAAGAAUAAGCACCGGCUAACUACGUG
RNAcentral lists this ribosomal RNA (486 nucleotides) under uncultured bacterium. RNAcentral's name for it is "partial 16S ribosomal RNA". It matches the Rfam family "Bacterial small subunit ribosomal RNA", at positions 30 to 507 of the family's 1533-position model. The record is from RNAcentral.